CUCAGAUCUCAGAAAAAGUCUUCUACUAAUCGGUGACUCGUCCGUCGGAAAAUCUUGCCUCCUCCUCAGAUUCGCUGAUGAUUCUUAUAUCGACAGCUACAUCAGCACCAUUGGAGUUGAUUUCAAAAUCAGAACUGUGGAGCUGGAAGGGAAGACCAUCAAGCUGCAGAUUGUGAGUAUUUUUUUUUUUAAAUAUUAUGUCAAUUUCUACGGCUUUUUUUUUCCUGUUUGUAACCCUUGUUUCCGUCGGUGAUCUAACUAUACAUGUCCCAUCUUGCAAAAGCCCCAAAACUAUAUACUAAAAUGAAGAAGCUUCGUUAUGUUUUAAACAAAACAAUUAACGCACAUGCCAUGGCUUCUUUUAGUUCCAUUAUUAUUAUUAUUAUUAUAUAUGUGGCUUGGUUUCAACUAUAUUUAGGUUUGUACUUUCUUCUCAUUAAAACCAAUCCUAUUAUGAGUAUAAUGCCCCACAUCCCUCAGAUUACAAAUUUACUCACCUUUGGCGUAGUAAUCUGUGGACUGUGGUCCAUGGAAUGUGUACAGCAUAAACAACGAUAAUGAAUUCUUGAUUUCUCUUCAUGUGUCCUA
This is a long non-coding RNA of Arachis duranensis, 588 nucleotides long. RefSeq lists it as uncharacterized. The record is from RefSeq and is a predicted model, not a curated record. Lineage: Eukaryota; Viridiplantae; Streptophyta; Magnoliopsida; Fabales; Fabaceae. The transcript has 3 exons.